RNAcentral lists this ribosomal RNA (279 nucleotides) under uncultured bacterium. RNAcentral's name for it is "partial 16S ribosomal RNA". It matches the Rfam family "Bacterial small subunit ribosomal RNA", at positions 506 to 784 of the family's 1533-position model. The record is from RNAcentral.
UGCCAGCAGCCGCGGUAAGACGGAGGGGGCUAGCGUUGUUCGGAUUUACUGGGCGUAAAGGGCGCGUAGGCGGCCAUGUGUGUCAGGGGUGAAAUCCCGGGGCUUAACCCCGGAAUUGCUCUUGAAACUGCAUGGCUUGAGUAUUGGAGAGGCAAGUGGAAUUCCGAGUGUAGCAGUGAAAUGCGUAGAUAUUCGGAGGAACAUCGGUGGCGAAGGCGACUUGCUGGCCAAUUACUGACGCUGAGGCGCGAAAGCGUGGGGAGCAAACAGGAUUAGAUA